RNAcentral lists this ribosomal RNA (468 nucleotides) under uncultured bacterium. RNAcentral describes it as "partial 16S ribosomal RNA". It matches the Rfam family "Bacterial small subunit ribosomal RNA", at positions 28 to 507 of the family's 1533-position model. The record is from RNAcentral.
GACGAACGCUGGCGGCGUGCUUAACACAUGCAAGUCGAACGGAAAGGCCCUGCUUUUGUGGGGUGCUCGAGUGGCGAACGGGUGAGUAACACGUGAGUAACCUGCCCUUGACUUUGGGAUAACUUCAGGAAACUGGGGCUAAUACCGGAUAGGAGCUCCUGCUGCAUGGUGGGGGUUGGAAAGUUUCGGCGGUUGGGGAUGGACUCGCGGCUUAUCAGCUUGUUGGUGGGGUAGUGGCUUACCAAGGCUUUGACGGGUAGCCGGCCUGAGAGGGUGACCGGCCACAUUGUGACUGAGAUACGGCCCAGACUCCUACGGGAGGCAGCAGUGGGGAAUAUUGCACAAUGGGCGGAAGCCUGAUGCAGCAACGCCGCGUGCGGGAUGACGGCCUUCGUGUUGUAAACCGCUUUCGCCUGUGACGAAGCGUGAGUGACGGUAAUGAGUAAAGAAGCACCGGCUAACUACGUG